RNAcentral lists this transfer RNA (81 nucleotides) under Planctomycetota bacterium. RNAcentral describes it as "tRNA-Leu". It matches the Rfam family "tRNA". Rfam says of the family: Transfer RNA (tRNA) molecules are approximately 80 nucleotides in length. Their secondary structure includes four short double-helical elements and three loops (D, anti-codon, and T loops). The record is from RNAcentral. Lineage: Bacteria; Pseudomonadati; Planctomycetota.
GGGCGGGUGGUGGAACGGCAGACACGCCAGGUUUAGGACCUGGUCCCGCAAGGGGUGAGGGUUCGAGUCCCUCCCCGCCCA